UACCAGCUCUCCGAGUUGUGGGGACGUUUAUUGAGCCUGAAGCAUCCGUAGCCGGCUGGGCAAGUCCUCUGUUAAAUCCAGCGACUAAUCGUUGGCCUGCGGGGGAUACUGCUCGGCUAGGGGGCGGGAGAGGCCGUCGGUAUUCUUGGGGUAGGGGUGAAAUCCUAUAAUCCCAGGAGGACCACCAGUGGCGAAGGCUGUCGGCUAGAACGCGCCCGACGGUGAGGGAUGAAAGCUGGGGGAGCGAACCGG
This 252-nucleotide ribosomal RNA is filed under the name uncultured bacterium. RNAcentral describes it as "partial 16S ribosomal RNA". It matches the Rfam family "Archaeal small subunit ribosomal RNA", at positions 474 to 727 of the family's 1478-position model. The record is from RNAcentral.